GCGAGGCAGAGGGAGGCCUAAGAAGUAUUGGGGAGAGGUGUUUAGGCAGGACAUGACUAGAAUGCAGGUUUUCGAGGACAUGACCCUUGAUAGGAAAGUCUGGAGGUCUAGAAUCAGGGUUGUAGGAUAGGGGCUCUUAGAGCUUUUCGUACGCCUCAUCGGGGGUUGGGUGUGGGUCAGAAGGGUUACCCAUAGAUGAUUUAUGUUUUAGCUUAUGUCCCCCUAUGGCUGUUAGUUAUGGUAGUUACUGUAUGAUAUUAUUG
RNAcentral lists this long non-coding RNA (263 nucleotides) under Nicotiana benthamiana. RNAcentral's name for it is "long non-coding RNA (NBEN_LNC037090)". Lineage: Eukaryota; Viridiplantae; Streptophyta; Magnoliopsida; Solanales; Solanaceae. The record is from RNAcentral.